UGGAGCUCGGACGCGAGUUC
This 20-nucleotide small nuclear RNA is filed under the name Arabidopsis thaliana (thale cress). RNAcentral describes it as "snRNA_17474". The record is from RNAcentral. Lineage: Eukaryota; Viridiplantae; Streptophyta; Magnoliopsida; Brassicales; Brassicaceae.